This 531-nucleotide ribosomal RNA is filed under the name Alternaria sp. RNAcentral's name for it is "eukaryotic LSU rRNA". The stretch from base 169 to 322 matches the Rfam family "5.8S ribosomal RNA". The record is from RNAcentral. Lineage: Eukaryota; Fungi; Ascomycota; Dothideomycetes; Pleosporales; Pleosporaceae.
UUACACAAAUAUGAAGGCGGGCUGGAACCUCUCGGGGUUACAGCCUUGCUGAAUUAUUCACCCUUGUCUUUUGCGUACUUCUUGUUUCCUUGGUGGGUUCGCCCACCACUAGGACAAACAUAAACCUUUUGUAAUUGCAAUCAGCGUCAGUAACAAAUUAAUAAUUACAACUUUCAACAACGGAUCUCUUGGUUCUGGCAUCGAUGAAGAACGCAGCGAAAUGCGAUAAGUAGUGUGAAUUGCAGAAUUCAGUGAAUCAUCGAAUCUUUGAACGCACAUUGCGCCCUUUGGUAUUCCAAAGGGCAUGCCUGUUCGAGCGUCAUUUGUACCCUCAAGCUUUGCUUGGUGUUGGGCGUCUUGUCUCUAGCUUUGCUGGAGACUCGCCUUAAAGUAAUUGGCAGCCGGCCUACUGGUUUCGGAGCGCAGCACAAGUCGCACUCUCUAUCAGCAAAGGUCUAGCAUCCAUUAAGCCUUUUUUUCAACUUUUGACCUCGGAUCAGGUAGGGAUACCCGCUGAACUUAAGCAUAUCA